UGGGGAAUUUUGGACAAUGGGCGAAAGCCUGAUCCAGCAAUGCCGCGUGUGUGAAGAAGGCCUUCGGGUUGUAAAGCACUUUUGUCCGGAAAGAAAUGGCUCUGUUUAAUACCUGGGGUCGAUGACGGUACCGGAAGAAUAAGGACCGGCUAACUACGUGCCAGCAGCCGCGGUAAUACGUAUGGUCCAAGCGUUAAUCGGAAUUACUGGGCGUAAAGAGUGCGUAGGCGGUUGUGCAAGACCGAUGUGAAAUCCCCGAGCUUAACUUGGGAAUUGCAUUGGUGACUGCACGGCUAGAGUGUGUGAGAGGGGUGUAGAAUUCCACGUGUAGCAGUGAAAUGCGUAGAGAUGUGGAGGAAUACCGAUGGCGAAGGCAGCCCCCUAGGAUAACACUGACGCUCAUGCACGAAAGCGUGGGGAGCAAACAGG
RNAcentral lists this ribosomal RNA (429 nucleotides) under Bacillota bacterium. RNAcentral's name for it is "Firmicutes bacterium partial 16S ribosomal RNA". It matches the Rfam family "Bacterial small subunit ribosomal RNA", at positions 355 to 776 of the family's 1533-position model. The record is from RNAcentral. Lineage: Bacteria; Bacillati; Bacillota.